RNAcentral lists this ribosomal RNA (330 nucleotides) under uncultured Shuttleworthella sp. RNAcentral describes it as "bacterial SSU rRNA". It matches the Rfam family "Bacterial small subunit ribosomal RNA", at positions 28 to 339 of the family's 1533-position model. The record is from RNAcentral. Lineage: Bacteria; Bacillati; Bacillota; Clostridia; Lachnospirales; Lachnospiraceae.
GAUGAACGCUGGCGGCGUGCUUAACACAUGCAAGUCGAACGAAGCACCUGGUCACGAUCCCUUCGGGGUGACGACCUUGUGACUGAGUGGCGGACGGGUGAGUAACGCGUGGGAAACCUGCCAUGUACUGGGGGAUAACAGUUGGAAACGGCUGCUAAUACCGCAUAAAACUGUCGGAUCGCAUGAUUUGAUAGCCAAAACUCCGGUGGUACAUGAUGGUCCCGCGUCUGAUUAGGCAGUUGGCGGGGUAACGGCCCACCAAACCGACGAUCAGUAGCCGACCUGAGAGGGUGACCGGCCACAUUGGGACUGAGACACGGCCCAAACUCC